Molecule: long non-coding RNA, 5692 nt
Organism: Acinonyx jubatus (cheetah)
Lineage: Eukaryota; Metazoa; Chordata; Mammalia; Carnivora; Felidae
Exons: 2
Source: RefSeq, a predicted model, not a curated record
GAGAGAGAGAGACAGGGCGGGGAAGGGGCAGAGAGAGAGGGAGACACAGAAUCCGAAGCAGGCUCCAGGCUCUGAGCUGUCAGCACAGAGCCUGACAUGGGGCUUGAACUCAUGAAGUUGGACGCUUAACCCACUGAGCCACCCAGGCCCCCUUAACUUCUAAGUUUUUAUAAUAGUGAAUGCUUCCAAUUAAGGCAUUGAAAUGGGGGAGUUAUAUUUCAUGAGGUCUGGUGGAAGACCAGAGCUGUUUUGUGUGAAAGGUGCUGAGUGGGACGCUUCUGGAGCAGUACUUCCAAUCUCUUUUACUUCAGAACACACUGAAAGUAAUACUUUGUACAGGACACGGGGAUAGGAGGUUUUAAACCACAGACAAGCUGCCACUGGACUGGUAGCCCCAGAUGGCUGCCCCAAGAGGUGAGAUAUCAGUAUCUUACAACUUUCAGCUCUCAUAUUGGGAAGUUCUGCUCUAUAGAGGGCAUUCAGGAGGUCCUAGUCUUGUGAAGAGCUCAAUAUUUACAAGUUAUAAUGCAAACAUACAGUGUUAAGUUAUGAUAGUAUUAUUUGGUGAAAUAGUAAGAAUGGGCGUUAGAUCUGUUUGAGGUGGAAAGGAUCUAGUAAAGGCUCUGUAGAGGGGGUGGGGCAUGGAAGGAAUUAUCUUGUGCAAAGGUAGAGUGGGAGCAAAGGGCAGAGGGAACUUGGGGACUGCCAAGGAUUUCUGAUGUGGUUGGAGGGUAAGAUUUGGGGAUGCAAAUAGGAAGCAGGAUAGUGGGAAUUACUGUUAAGAAAGUAGGCUGCGGUUGGCUUCAGGAGGGUCUUUAUGAGAUUGAAUGAGCUCAUGACUUUGGGCAACACUGGUGGUGACACUUCCCCUAUUCCUUUUAGGAAAAUCCUUCUGGGGCAGUGUAGAGUGAACUGAAGCCUGCAAGCUGAUACAUCCCUGGGGAGGGAAAGACAUUGAUCCAGGCUAGAUGAGGGAUAAUAAAGGCUUGCACUUUAUUAUUGGUGAAUAGAGGUUGAAAGUGCUUCUUGAAGUGGGAACCCAAAAUUCUGCUUAUUGAUAAGGAGAAAGGUGACUCACAUUUGGAGUCUGGUUGAAGGAAAGGAUGACUCAAGACUAUUUUCAGAAUUAGAGUCUUGUAUAGGGGACAAGGAACUUGAUUUUGGACAUGGGGAUUUUAAGAUGCUUGCAGAGAAAUAAGUGUUAACGUUUAUAAAAUGCUAGGUUCUGAUCUAAGCACAUUUUAAAACUCCUUCUAUUCUCAUAAUAGCCAUAAAAAAGUACGUGUUAUCAGUUAGUGUCCAGUCAGGAAAAUAAAACGCACGGAAUGUUUUAAGCACCGAAGGGUUUAAUGCAGGAAAUUGGUUACAGUGGUAUUGGAAGAGCUGGAGGAACAAAAAGAAAAAGGUGUGUGUUGGAGCAAAAAGGAGAAGGGAACAAAGAGGAGGAGAAAGUAAGUGUGUGUGUGCGUGUGUGUGUGUGUGUGUGUGUGUGUGUGUGUGUGUAGAUGAAUGUUGGAGGAACAAAAAGGAGAAGGAAAUGUUAAUCAGUUGUCAGACAGCUGCUGCAUAAACUGUAUGCUCUACAGAUUUUCUGGAGAUCUUCAUUGGUUCUGCUGCUUUGGAACCCCCACAGAUGCUGCUGGAGCCUCUGGCUGUCUGUUGCUGCUUGUGGAGGUACCACCAGGAACAGGAAACAAAGACAUUUUUCUUGCUCUCACCUUGGAAUCUCCUGCCACCAUAUCCAAGAGGAAGGUAGUUGGUAAAGGGAGUUUGGAAAAUACAGUUUAUAGAUUUCCAGCUCCUAUGUAAUAAUAGAGAAGAGAAGAGAACCAACAGAAAAAUAACCAGCACAGUGGGUACUGUUUUUAUCCUUAUGUUACAGGUGUGGAGACCAAGUCAUGGGAGAAGGUCACACAGAUACAGCUUGGCAGAGUUGAGAUGUGGAUGUAGGUAGUCUGGUUUCAGAGUGUGUGCUCUUAGCCUCUGCACUUUGAUCUUGCCUCCACACAUGGUUAUUAUUUGCUUUUUCUCCUUAUUGCUGAGCACUUCAAAUGAGCAGCUGUUUCCAUUGAUUUUGCUUAUCCUGCACUUACUUUUCUUUGAUAUCUCUUACUGGCAACAGUUUUUCACCUCAACCUCUGGAACCUGUCUUCUGGUCCCUAUUGAUUUUAUAGCUAACAUAAUCGGUUAUUUCAGUUUCUAUUUGUCUUUAAUCUAUUUCUGACUUUUGAUACAGAUGGAUACCUAUUUAUAUGGGAUUCCAACCUUGAUUUCUAUGAUGCUGACUUUGACUUGCUUCAUUUUCUUCUUAUCUCACUGAGGCCCUUUGGUUUUCUUCUUUUUCUUCCCAUUCCUUAAACCAUUGCCAUAUCUUGCCUUGAGUUUGGAUUUUAGUGUAUUAUAAGAAGCUACUUAAUGUUAAUUUUAUAUUUAAAUCAGGACCAAUAAAAUCUUCAUGUAUACAGUUCUUAUGACCUUUUUCCUUUGUGUGUUAUGAAGUCAGACAAGUCAGAGCAGGGUUUCAAUUUGUGUUCUGCCCUGGGCAAGGAGGAAGAGAACAGGAUGACUGAAGGAGACAGACUCACUCUGAGUAACUACUAUGUACCAGCACUGUGCUAAGUGCUUCAGAUGUGUUGCUUCAUUUAAGUUCUCCUGUGUGAGAUUGCUUGUUUGUUACCCUUAUUUACAGAUGAAGAAACUAACUCUUCGUGAUGAACCAGUAAUAGAACUGGGGUUGAAACCCUCAUCUGAUGUGCUCUGACAGCCAGAUUCUUUCCUCUGGACCACCUGGGAGAAGCUCCCACUUUCUUAUCUGUUAAGUGAAGAAACUGGGCAAGAUCAGUUUUCAGGCCCAUUUCAGUAUCAUCGUUCUGAUUUUGUCACAAACUAGUGUCGCAAGCAGUAGUUGCUUCUCGUGUUGAAAAAGGAAGUUGCCUUCCCAUUCCACGAAACAUCCUGUUUUAUUAAGAUCAAGAGUACUAAUGUGUUAUUUGUAAAAGUUAUGAAGUAGGGCACAGGCAUUUAAAGUAGUCAUGAUGAUAGAUCUUCAUGUAAGUUGCAAGAGAGCCCCAUUACCUCCAAAUGAGGCUGCUGCCUAGAACAUUAGAGGCUGUGGCUUUUAUUGACAGGUGCUCAGAAUAAUAGCUUUGGAACAACUCCAGUCUAAACAAAAGGGCAAUCCAGUUAUUCCAUUAUACUUUAUGCUGAAAGCAUGUGCUUCCAGAUUAUUAAGAAUCCCUUUCUUUGGAUGGAAUUUAGUGUGAGAUUUGCAAGAAGAUAGUGCAAAAUACAUUUUAAAGAUAAGGUUCACUGUAAUAUGGUUUGAUUUCUUUAUAAAGCCAGUGGACAACCCUAAAAUGGUUAACUGUCAUGUGGUUCAUCCAUGUCUUGCCAUCAGACAUGCAAAUAGAUGGUUUAAGUGGAUACCAACAUCCUCUCUUGAUAUAAAGGACCCAUUAUAAAAUACUCAUCCAAGUAUUCCUACACACACACACACACACACACACACACACACACCAUUAGGAUAAGUGCGUUUCGGAGCACCUGGGUGACUCAUUCUGUUAAGCGUCUGACUUUUGAUUUCAGCUCAGGUCAUGCCUGAUCUCAUGGUUUGUGAGUUCGACCCCUGUGUCGAACCAUGCUUCAGGCCCACACUGACAAUGCAGAGCCUGCUUGUGAUUCUCUCUCUCUUCUCUCUCUCUGUGCCUCCCUAUCUUCCUCCCUCCUCCUCUCUCUCAAAAUAAAUAAAUAAGCUGAAAAAAAAUAGAGUAUGUUUCCAGAUUCCAUAGAAUUUGUUUUAUCUUCUUCACUCAUAAACAUCCUCCAGCCCUCCCUCAUUCAUGUUUUAUUUUGUAAAAAUGGGAAAUUGAAAGGUUUAUACCUCUGUUUUUAACUUUUAGUUUUAUUGACUUUGCCUGCUUUAGAGGAAGCCUACAGGGGAGUCUCGGCUCCCUGGCCACUCCUUCCUUUGGUUUAGGUGGUUGGUUCUUCCUUUAGCAAACCUCUAACUAUAUGGGUCCCCGGCACCUGAGGCUGGGUUAUUUUCUCCUACCUAGGUGAUCCCAAUCACCCCCAAAUUCUUCUAUGCUACCAAGUGAUGAUUACUACCCAAUUUUGGUUUCCAGGUCUGACUGCUCUCCUGGUUGCUUAUUUACUUCUUACGUCUAUUUAGAUUUGGUGGGAAUUUCAUGCCAUACAUUGGAAUGUAACCUAUUUUAUCGAUUAUAUCAAUGAAUUUAACUAUUUUAUUUUUUUAUUAAAAAAUUCUUUUUAAUGUUUAUUUUUGAGACAGAGAGAGACUGAGUGUGAGUGAGGGAGGGGCAGAGAGAGAGGGAGACAUAGAAUCCGCUCCAGGCUCUGAGCUGUGAGCACAGAGCCAGAUGCAGGGCUCGAACCCAUCGACCACGAGAUCGUGACCUGAGCCGAAGUCAGACACUGAACCAACCGACCGAGCGACCCAGACACCCUUGAACUUAACUAUUUUAAAAGAUUCCAUUGUGGAAUAUCAUGUUCAUAAACGUAGGUAAUAACAAGGGUUUGGGGGUUAAAAACAGGAAUUUGUUUCUGUGGAAAUAAUUCCUAGACCAGCUUCUUGGGUGGGGAAUGAAUGACUUGCCGAAUUUUGAAAAAUGGCAAGUUUUGAGAAAUGGCAGUUAUAAGGGUAUGACACAGAAAUAUAGCAGUGCUUGAUAUAGUUGCUGUAAUAAAAGUGGAAUAUUUUCAACUUUGUUCACAUUUGACAGCUUCUAUUUUUGAGGUAUCUCAAAUACAUUUUGUAUGAUCACCUCCAUUUCACCCCUCCCUUGUGUGCUUUUAUUUUAAUCCAGUGAAGCCAGCCUGACAGUAAACAGUGUGAUUAUAUUCUCUUCUAACACUUAGUGGUUUUUGGUACUUAAGUUUGUCUAAUGGGCCCAUCACUAAAAGUCGGAGUCAUUUCUCUCUGCUGCCUUGAUAGAGAGCAUGUGGGUUUGCGUGGGGCUGCCUUGCAACACAGCACUGAGUUGUAGUGUGCAGAAAAGCUGUUCCUCUUGAUCCACUACACGUGGCAGUCCCCGGGCAGGUGUGUCUAAGAUGAGGAUGUUUUCAAUGUACUUUAGGUCCUCUUCAGUACGGUGCCUCAGACCCCAAGACCUAUCUCUUACUUAUAUUAGGCAUCACCUCUUACCUCCCUUAACCCCUAUAGUGAGCCAGAGGAAGAGGGUUGUUUGUGUUUUUGUGGACUGUUUAGGGCAGUGCAGUGUACUAGCCUGCCUUCCCUCACCAUCUUUGUGUAUCUGAUUUGAUGGAGCCGUAGCAGUGGCCCAUUCUAGUGUGCUCCAGCAAGACCCUGCUUAUCUGUAAGCCUAAAACGUAGGGUAUUUUCUACACUCUUGAAAAAAAAAAUAUCACAAGCUGACUAAGCAAAAAAAAAAAAAAAAAAAAAAAGCAGCACUCUAAAAAGUCCGGCCCUAUUUUCCUCUUCCCUAAUUAGGAGACCCUAAAUCCUCCUUUACAAUCUGUAUUUCUUCUUAAGAGAUCAUUUUAGAAAGUCUGACUUUUUCCCUUUCUAGUUAACAGUGUAUUUGAAGGAGAUGUGGAAGAGGGGAAAGAAGGGUAAGCUCCAUAUAGAUAGGUUAGCAUCCAAGAGUGCCAGCUUGAGAAAGUGAUAGUUUGAGAAAGUAAAACCUUAAAAAAAAAAACAAAAAAAAAAGAU